RNAcentral lists this unclassified non-coding RNA (346 nucleotides) under soil metagenome. RNAcentral's name for it is "partial contains 5.8S ribosomal RNA, internal transcribed spacer 2, and large subunit ribosomal RNA". The stretch from base 3 to 120 matches the Rfam family "5.8S ribosomal RNA", at positions 37 to 154 of the family's 154-position model. The record is from RNAcentral.
GCUGAAGAACGCAGCAAAAUGCGAUAAGUAAUGUGAAUUGCAGAAUUCAGUGAAUCAUCGAAUCUUUGAACGCACAUUGCGCCCGCCAGUAUUCUGGCGGGCAUGCCUGUUCGAGCGUCAUUUCAACCCUCAAGCCCUCGGGUUUGGUGUUGGGGAUCGGCGAGCCUUUCUGGCAAGCCGGCCCCGAAAUCUAGUGGCGGUCUCGCUGCAGCCUCCAUUGCGUAGUAGUAAAACCCUCGCAACUGGAACGCGGCGCGGCCAAGCCGUUAAACCCCCAACUUCUGAAUGUUGACCUCGGAUCAGGUAGGAAUACCCGCUGAACUUAAGCAUAUCAAUAAGCGGAGGA